RNAcentral lists this ribosomal RNA (497 nucleotides) under uncultured bacterium. RNAcentral's name for it is "partial 16S ribosomal RNA". It matches the Rfam family "Bacterial small subunit ribosomal RNA", at positions 28 to 507 of the family's 1533-position model. The record is from RNAcentral.
GACGAACGCUGGCGGCGUGCCUAAUACAUGCAAGUUGAGCGCUGAAGGUUGGUACUUGUACCAACUGGAUGAGCCGCGAACGGGUGAGUAACGCGUGGGGAAUCUGCCUUUGAGCGGGGGACAACAUUUGGAAACGAAUGCUAAUACCGCAUAAAAACUUUAAACACAAGUUUUAAGUUUGAAAGAUGCAAUUGCAUCACUCAAAGAUGAUCCCGCGUUGUAUUAGCUAGUUGGUGAGGUACAGGCUCACCAAGGCGAUGAUACAUAGCCGACCUGAGAGGGUGAUCGGCCACAUUCGGACUGAGACACGGCCCAAACGCCUACGGGAGGCAGCAGUAGGGAAUCUUCGGCAAUGGACGAAAGUCUGACCGAGCAACGCCGCGGGAGUGAAGAAGGUUUUCGGAUCGUAAAACUCUGUUGGUAGAGAAGAACGUUGGUGAGAGUGGAAAGCUCAUCAAGUGACGGUAACUACCCAGAAAGGGACGGCUAACUACGUG